Molecule: ribosomal RNA, 253 nt
Filed under: uncultured bacterium
Lineage: Bacteria
Description: partial 16S ribosomal RNA
Rfam family: Bacterial small subunit ribosomal RNA
Source: RNAcentral
UACGGGGGGUGCAAGCGUUGCUCGGAAUUACUGGGCGUAAAGCGUACGCAGGCGGCUUGGCAAGUCGGGUGUGAAACCCCGGGGCUCAACCCCGGACGUGCAUCCGAGACUGCUGGGCUUGAGUGCGGGAGAGGGAAGCGGAAUUCCUGGUGUAGAGGUGAAAUUCGUAGAUAUCAGGAGGAACACCGGUGGCGAAAGCGGCUUCCUGGCCCGAUACUGACGCUCAUGUACGAAAGCGUGGGGAGCAAACAGG